This 58-nucleotide transfer RNA is filed under the name Pogona minor. RNAcentral describes it as "tRNA-Ser". Lineage: Eukaryota; Metazoa; Chordata; Lepidosauria; Squamata; Agamidae. The record is from RNAcentral.
GAUGGGCUUAGCGGGGCUGCUAACUCUGCAAUCUGGGCCUAGUCUCCCGGGCCCGUCA